Molecule: long non-coding RNA, 1684 nt
Organism: Bos taurus (domestic cattle)
Lineage: Eukaryota; Metazoa; Chordata; Mammalia; Artiodactyla; Bovidae
Source: Ensembl
AAAAAGUGAUAAACUUCAUAUGAUGUGAGCAAUUGCCUUCUUAGUGACCCAUUCCCAGUGCAGACUGUGACACAGGAAAACCCCCAGAGGACGUCCACACUGGUUUGUUAUGUUUCACAAUAACCUCCCUGUUUGCACCACACAGUGGGGCGCCCUUGGCAGGCUCUGCUGACGUGUCUUUCCUGGCACAAGUCUGAGAACAUGGGGUGCAUGUGAUCUCCCGGUGUGGGACCCAGAGAAGCAGCUUCUUGAAUGUCAGAGAGCAUUUGUGAAGCAGCUGAGGCAUGAACUUUCCUUGCAGACCCCGCUUUCAAGAAAAAAGAAACAGAGCUUUCGCCAAGUUACAGGUCCGCGGGGCUCACGUCCCUCUGUGAUGCCGUGAGUUUACAGCUCUGAUCUUUCUGUGUGUGGGGUGGAGACUCCAGGGAUCAGUUUGUCCUGAGGAGGGGUGGCAGUCUUUAAUUUCUGUAGUCCCGUGGUCUUGCACACAGGUCGGCAUAUGGUAAAAGCAAAAUAAAAACGCGUUGAAUCAGUGAUUUUGAGAAGAGAAAUCCCAAACCGUGGUAUGACUCAGUUCUAUCUAAUGAAUGUCUUUCUUGGUUUUUUCGCUCCCAAUAAUUACAGCAAGCGUACAGUGCUUACGCUGGGUCAUACUGCCCUUCACAGAUGAACACGUCUAGCUCUCACACUCCCUUGUGAUAAAAAGCACUGGAGGUGAAAAGAGAUGGAUGACAAAGGCAAUGAGGAGGAGACUGAGUCUGGAACCCACGGAGCAGCUGGUGUGUUUCACAGUCAGCACCUUGGGUCUCAAAUAAUAACCAUUCAGAUUCACAGUCUAUUUGAUUUUCUGACAAUCUACCACCUACAUGCCUUAAGAAAAGGAAAUUGAUUUUCUUGUGCAAUAAAUGAGACAGGGCAGAUUCAUCAGCUUCUAUGCUCCUACCCUUAAUGGAUGACUUAUUUCUACUCCUGUGAUAGUAGAGAGGAGGAGGACCUGCCAGUUAACAGCGUUUUUAUGUUUUUUUUUUUUUUCCUGGCUACAACAGAUAAGUUUCCUAAAACAACAAACUGUUUGAAAAUAGGAAGUGAAGCAGAUGAAGGCAUAUUAAGUCUCAACUAUCUUUUCUUGAACUUUCCUUGGUUAGCAGCUAUCUAGCUGUAGUUGUACAAAACUUCUUUUUCAAAUUCACGUCCUAGAACACAAAAUUAUACUUAAUUUUGCUCAUCAUUUUAUAUGAAUGAAAUUUGAAAUGAGUUUAAAUUUUGGAAAACGAAUAAUAAAACACUGAUGACAACUCUGACGGGCGCUUGGUUACGUGGCUGUUGUCCUUUUCAAAGCGUUUUGCUGUUGAAACUGCUGCUGCCGGAGGAGGUGGGGGGGUUUCCCAUUAGAAGAAGCAGGAGGGUGAGAUGGGUCACCCGCGGCCUGAGGGCGGGAAGCCCCGAGGAGGGCCGGCUGGGAUGGCCUCGGGACCCCCACCCAAACCAGCCCUGAAGUGGGAGGAGGGGAUGCCCGCGGGCAGCACACACCGCAGAGCGGGCACGGCCGCGGCCAUCUGACUGCUGAGCCUGCUCGUUACACAGGGCAGCCUGGUCCAAACGCCGCGGGGAUGUCCACGUGGCAGCUAAGAACAGGGCUCAUGACACCUCCUGGAGAAGGGAAGGCAGAGCCCCUCGCAAUGGC